CCUACGUGAGGCAGCAGUGAGGAAUAUUGGUCAAUGGGCGCGAGACUGAACCAGCCAAGUAGCGUGAAGGAUGACUGCCCUACGGGUCGUAAACUUCUUUUGUAAAGGAAUAAAGAGAGGCACGUGUGCCUUGUUGUAUGUACUUGAUGAAAAAGGAUCGGCUAACUCCGUGCCAGCAGCCGCGGUAAUACGGAGGAUCCGAGCGUUAUCCGGAUUUAUUGGGUUUAAAGGGUGCGUAGAUGGGUUGUUAAGUCAGUUGUGAAAGUUCGGGGCUCAACCCUAAAAGUGCAAUUGAUACUGGCAGCCUUGAGUACAGUUGAGGUAGGCGGAAUUCGUGGUGUAGCGGUGAAAUGCUUAGAUAUCACGAAGAACUCCGAUUGCGAAGGCAGCCUACCAAACUGCCACUGACAUUGAUGCUCGAAAGUGUGGGUAUCAAACAGGAUUAGAUACCCGGGUAGUC
RNAcentral lists this ribosomal RNA (460 nucleotides) under uncultured bacterium. RNAcentral's name for it is "partial 16S ribosomal RNA". It matches the Rfam family "Bacterial small subunit ribosomal RNA", at positions 338 to 795 of the family's 1533-position model. The record is from RNAcentral.